UACAGAGGGUGCGAACGUUGCUCGGAAUUACUGGGCGUAAAGAGCUCGUAGGUGGUUUGUCGCGUUGUUCGUGAAAACUCACAGCUCAACUGUGGGCGUGCGGGCGAUACGGGCAGACUGGAGUACUGCAGGGGAGACUGGAAUUCCUGGUGUAGCGGUGGAAUGCGCAGAUAUCAGGAGGAACACCGGUGGCGAAGGCGGGUCUCUGGGCAGUAACUGACGCUGAGGAGCGAAAGCGUGGGGAGCGAACAGG
RNAcentral lists this ribosomal RNA (253 nucleotides) under uncultured bacterium. RNAcentral's name for it is "partial 16S ribosomal RNA". It matches the Rfam family "Bacterial small subunit ribosomal RNA", at positions 524 to 776 of the family's 1533-position model. The record is from RNAcentral.